RNAcentral lists this ribosomal RNA (1662 nucleotides) under Triticum aestivum (bread wheat). Its description in RNAcentral is "partial small subunit ribosomal RNA". Lineage: Eukaryota; Viridiplantae; Streptophyta; Magnoliopsida; Poales; Poaceae. The record is from RNAcentral.
ACACAUCUUUCCUACGCACCCUAAAAAGAAACCUUAUUUCCCAUUCACGCUUUCACAUUGACACAUCUUGCUCUUGCUCUUCCCCUUGCCUGAUCCCCUUUCUCACUCCAAAAUUGCUGCCGCCGGUAGCUCCCAUCAGCUUGAUUCCUUGAUUCAGUGCCUUGAGCUUGCUCGUCCUCACCUACAGCCAGCCCCGCAGCUUGAUUCAUUUGUGCAGCCAUAGGGUGACCUUCGACGGCGGCUGGUUUGUCUCCUGAUCUCCUCGUACGCCUCCUCGGUCUCCUCCUAGGCUGGUAAAUGGCGAUGGAGAGGUAGCAGGGCCCAAGGUGUAGCUGCGCAAGGGAGGAGGUGAGAUCAUCAAUCUGCACGAUGUUGUUGCUGUCUAUGUCCGUGCAGGUGAUGUUGGCGUGGAUUUCGUCUCCAACAGCUGCUUUGAUCCAUCUUUAGUAUGAGGAUGGUGGAGAUGUUUUCUGCCCCUAGAGCGCCGGCCAGACGCAUCCUCCACAUCGGCAACAUUCUUCGAAGUUUGAAGUGUGUUGCCCUACAGCAAGAAAUGAGGCACAUAACUGGGAACGAUUGGACGUGGGGAGAGAAGAAAUGUUACCUUGUUGUUGACCGAAAACAGUAGUAAAGCUCCAACCUCUAGGUAAAUAUCGUCCUUGACGAAGAGGUCGAAUUCUGGCCACUUAUAGGGUCUGUGUAUGGUGUGUAUCUCAAGUCCCAACUCUCACCUGAUUGGUCUUCUAAUCUCCCUCUAGCUGGCUGACAGGAGAUUUCAUAUGUUAACAACAAUGCUCCAAGAGCAAUCCAACCAUCCAAGGCAUAUGGUUUUGGAGAUUAGCAGUUUGCAAAUACGGAAGGAAAAAUACCUUAUAGCAGCUAGCUGUGGGGUGAAAGCAGAUGUGGUUUUGGAGCAGCAGUUUGCAAAUACGGAAGGAAAAAUACCUUAUAGUAGCUAGCUGUGGGGUCAAAGUAGAUUGCAAUUUGAUUUUAAUUUUUUUGAUUCAGUUAUGUUUGCACGUGGCUGUACCACAUCAAAGCUGAUUGAACCUACCUAAUAUCGUGGCAAUUCUUUGGCCCUAUUUUGUCCUGUAGCUGAGCGAAUAUCGAUAUUCUUUUCCCUGGCGGCCAUACAUGCCUAGUAUCUCUUGUGUAUUCAUUGAUUAAUUUUUGUUGAGCGUCCUGGCUACCAAUCUGUCCUGCUUAGUAGUUGAUCCUAUUAAUAAGGGACAAAAUAAAAGUAACAGUGCAGGGAAGAACAAUAGCAUACCUAGUCAUCAAGGCCGGAUUGCUGUAUGCACACUGGGCGGCAGAGAGAGAACGGCAUGGGGAGGGCAUGGAUUAAUUACUAUUCUUUUUUAGGGAAUAUAGAUAUUCUUCUGUUAGGAUAGUGAAGAGAUUUGGAUGUGAGGUUGUUUUUAUAGUGUAAAGAUAUGGUAAGUGAGAUAUGUACGUGAUGGAUGUGAGGUUCCUUUUUUAAGUGAACAGAUAUGGACGUGAGAUAUGUACUUGAGAUUGUUUUUUUGUUUUGGAAAAGGUGAAUUGUUAUUCAGUUUUUUUAGUGGAUUGGUAGGAUAUGUAAUGGCAAAGGUGGGUAAUUAAUUGUCCUUUGGUUAGAUCGGACGACUGUAAUUUUUUUGUCUAUUAAAAUAAAUGGCCAGA